RNAcentral lists this ribosomal RNA (468 nucleotides) under uncultured bacterium. RNAcentral's name for it is "partial 16S ribosomal RNA". It matches the Rfam family "Bacterial small subunit ribosomal RNA", at positions 28 to 507 of the family's 1533-position model. The record is from RNAcentral.
GACGAACGCUGGCGGCGUGCUUAACACAUGCAAGUCGAACGGAAAGGCCCUGCUUUUGUUGGGUGCUCGAUUGGCGAACGGGUGAGUAUCACGCGUGUAACCUGUCCCUGACUUUGGGAUAACUUCAGGAAACUGGGGCUAAUACCGGAUAGGAGCUCUUGCUGCACGGUGGGGGAUGGUAAGAUUCGGCGGUUGGGGAUGGUAUCGCGGCUUAUCAGCUUGUUGGUGGGGUAGUGGCUUACAAAGGCUUUGACGGGUAGGCGGCCUGAGAGGGUGACCGGCGACAAUAGUCCUGCGAUACGGAGCAGUAUCGAACGGGACGCAACAGGCGAGAAUAUUGCAGAGUGGGGGGGAGCCAGAUACAACGACGCCGCGUGCGGGAUGCCGGCCUUCGAGUUAAAAACCAAUUUCUCAUGAGACGUAGCGUGAGUGACGGUAAUGGGUAAGAAAGCACCGGCUAACUACGUG